AACGCACAUUGCGCCCGCCAGUAUUCUGGCGGGCAUGCCUGUCCGAGCGUCAUUUCAACCCUCGAGCCCCCCCGGGGCUUGGUGUUGGGGAUCGGCCCGCCCCUGGCGGCGCGCCGGCCCCGAAAUCUAGUGGCGGUCCCGCUGUAGCCUCCUCUGCGUAGUAGCACACCUCGCACCGGAACGCAGCGCGGCCACGCCGUUAAACCCCCCACUUCUGAAGGUUGACCUCGGAUCAGGUAGGAAUACCCGCUGAACUUAA
This 259-nucleotide unclassified non-coding RNA is filed under the name uncultured fungus. RNAcentral's name for it is "partial contains 5.8S ribosomal RNA, internal transcribed spacer 2, and large subunit ribosomal RNA". The stretch from base 1 to 52 matches the Rfam family "5.8S ribosomal RNA", at positions 103 to 154 of the family's 154-position model. The record is from RNAcentral. Lineage: Eukaryota; Fungi.